RNAcentral lists this ribosomal RNA (311 nucleotides) under uncultured eukaryote. Its description in RNAcentral is "partial 18S ribosomal RNA". It matches the Rfam family "Eukaryotic small subunit ribosomal RNA", at positions 1470 to 1796 of the family's 1831-position model. The record is from RNAcentral.
CCCCUAGACGUUCUGGGCUGCACGCGCGCUACAAUAAUACGCACAGCGAGUAUCACCGAGCUCGAAAGGGCAAGGUAAACAAUAGAAAAGGUACUGUAAUGGUUAUAGAUCCUUGUAAUUAUUGAUCUUCAACGAGGAAUUCCUAGUAAGUAUGUGUCAUCAUCACGCACUGAUUACGUCCCUGCCCUUUGUACACACCGCCCGUCGCUCCUACCGAUUGGGUGAGCCGAUGAAACUCUCGGAUGUAGGCUAUUCAUAGCCCGCAUAAGAGAUUUGAAUCGUAGCGCUUAGAGGAAGGAGAAGUCGUAACA